GAUGAACGCUGGCGGCGUGCCUAAUACAUGCAAGUCGAGCGAACAGACGAGGAGCUUGCUCCUCUGACGUUAGCGGCGGACGGGUGAGUAACACGUGGAUAACCUACCUAUAAGACUGGGAUAACUUCGGGAAACCGGAGCUAAUACCGGAUAAUAUAUUGAACCGCAUGGUUCAAUAGUGAAAGACGGUUUUGCUGUCACUUAUAGAUGGAUCCGCGCCGCAUUAGCUAGUUGGUAAGGUAACGGCUUACCAAGGCGACGAUGCGUAGCCGACCUGAGAGGGGGAUCGGCCACACUGGAACUGAGACACGGUCCAGACUCCUACGGGAGGCAGCAGGAGGGAAUCUUCCGCAAUGGGCGAAAGCCUGACGGAGCAACGCCGCGUGAGUGAUGAAGGUCUUCGGAUCGUAAAACGCUGUUAUUAGGGAAGAACAAAUGUGUAAGUAACUAUGCACGUCUUGACGGUACCGAAUCAGAAAGCCACGGCUAACUACGU
RNAcentral lists this ribosomal RNA (496 nucleotides) under uncultured bacterium. RNAcentral describes it as "partial 16S ribosomal RNA". It matches the Rfam family "Bacterial small subunit ribosomal RNA", at positions 28 to 506 of the family's 1533-position model. The record is from RNAcentral.